RNAcentral lists this ribosomal RNA (468 nucleotides) under uncultured bacterium. Its description in RNAcentral is "partial 16S ribosomal RNA". It matches the Rfam family "Bacterial small subunit ribosomal RNA", at positions 28 to 507 of the family's 1533-position model. The record is from RNAcentral.
GACGAACGCUGGCGGCGUGCUUAACACAUGCAAGUCGAACGGAAAGGCCCUGCUUUUGUGGGUUUCUCGAGUGGCGAACGCGUGUGUAACACAUGAGUAACCUGCCCUUGACUUUCGGAUAACUUCAGGAAACUGGGGCUAAUACCGGAUAGGAUCUCCUGCUGCAUGGUGGGGGUUGGAAAGUUUCGGCGGUAGGGGCUGGUCUGGCUGCUUAUCGGCUUGAUGGUGUGGUAGGGGCUUACCAAGGCUUCGACGGGUAGCCGGCCUGGGAGGGUGACCGGCCACAAUGGGACUGAGAUACGGCGCAGACUCCUACGUGAGGCAGAAGGGGGGAACAUUGCACAAUGGGCGGAAGCCUGAUGCAGCAACGCCGCGUGCGGGAUGACGUCCUUCUGGGUGUAAACAGCUUUCGCCGGUGACGAAGCGUUAGUGACGGUACCGGGUAAAGAAGCACCGGCUAACUACGUG